Long non-coding RNA from Eriocheir sinensis (Chinese mitten crab), 666 nucleotides. RefSeq lists it as uncharacterized. The record is from RefSeq and is a predicted model, not a curated record. The transcript is spliced from 4 exons. NCBI's taxonomy places the organism in Eukaryota, Metazoa, Arthropoda, Malacostraca, Decapoda, Varunidae.
AAGAUUUCGCCUCCAUGGUUUAACCCGUCCGCUGCGAUUGGCACGGAUUUGGCCUUCACUGGUAGCCUGGUAACAUACACUCCCAGGUCUUUCUCUGCCUCUGUGGUGGAUAGUGGAGUGUUUCCCAUGUGGUAUUGGUGUGCUGGAUAUCCCUUCACUGGUAGCCUGGUAACAUACACUCCCAGGUCUUUCUCUGCCUCUGUGGUGGAUAGUGGAGUGUUUCCCAUGUGGUAUUGGUGUGCUGGAUAUCCCUUCACUGGUAGCCUGGUAACAUGCACUCCCAGGUCUUUCUCUGCCUCUGUGGUGGAUAGUGGAGUGUUUCCCAUGUGGUAUUGGUGUGCUGGAUAUCCCUUCACUGGUAGCCUGGUAACAUUCACUCCCAGGUCUUUCUCUGCCUCUGUGGUGGAUAGUGGAGUGUUUCCCAUGUGGUACUGGUGUGCUGGAUAUCCCUUCACUGGUAGCCUGGUAACAUACACUCCCAGGUCUUUCUCUGCCUCUGUGGUGGAUAGUGGAGUGUUUCUCAUGUGGUAUUGGUGUGCUGGAUAUCCCUUCACUGGUAGCCUGGUAACAUACACUCCCAGGUCUUUCUCUGCCUCUGUGGUGGAUAGUGGAGUGUUUCCCAUGUGGUAUUGGUGUGUUGGAUAUCCCUUCACUGGUAGCCUGGUA